Molecule: ribosomal RNA, 497 nt
Filed under: uncultured bacterium
Lineage: Bacteria
Description: partial 16S ribosomal RNA
Rfam family: Bacterial small subunit ribosomal RNA
Source: RNAcentral
GACGAACGCUGGCGGCGUGCCUAAUACAUGCAAGUUGAGCGCUGAAGGUUGGUACUUGUACCAACUGGGUGAGCAGCGAACGGGUGAGUAACGCGUGGGGAAUCUGCCUUUGAGCGGGGGACAACAUUGGGAAACGAAUGCUAAUACCGCAUAAAAACUUUAAACACAAGUUUUAAGUUUGAAAGAUGCAAUUGCCUCACUCAAAGAUGAUCCCGCGUUGUAUUAGCUAGUUGGUGAGGUAAAGGCUCACCAAGGCGAUGAUACAUAGCCGACCUGAGAGGGUGAUCGGCCACAUUGGGACUGAGACACGGCCCAAACUCCUACGGGAGGCAGCAGUAGGGAAUCUUCGGCAAUUGACGAAAGUCUGACCGAGCAACGCCGCGGGAGGGAAGAAGGGUUUCGGAUCGUAAAACUCUGUUGGUAGAGAAGAACGUUGGUGAGAGUGGAAAGCUCAUCAAGUGACGGUAACUACCCAGAAAGGGACGGCUAACUACGUG